GCUACAGUAACUUAUACUACUCUUUCUCGAGCACGAAGAAGACAGAAGGCGCUCGCUUUAAAUGCGUACUCACACAUUUUGCGAUUUUGCUUUUGAAUUAUGCGACCACGAGGCACUCUUACGCAACUGGGGUGAACUUGCGCGCGCGUUCAUCACAGAAGAGCAUUCGCGGCAACGCGCGCGUUGUCCUGACAACAAGGAUUCACAAACAAACGCAGUUUCUUAACGGUCGUUUAGCAAUCUUUUGUCCGUUUUGUCUCCUUAUUUCGGUCGCGAAAUGAAGAUAAAAUACGUGUUUGUUGAUAUAUUAACUGUAAAUGCCAUUCACAUAUGAACACUAACGUACCACAGUUAAAAUAAAAAGUCACGGUCAAAGGACAAAAGAGAGGGCUACGUUUUUUUGAGAAGCUGGACCAUUUUGACCUUAUCAUCUUCAGCUGUAUAAUUCAGCGAAAUCAAUGAUGUGCAGGGGUUUAAAAAGUACAGCUUGGGAAAUAUAAAGAUGAUGGUUAUUUUAAAGAAGAAGCCUGACACAUUGGAGACUUAACCAUCUUCAAAGGACAAUGCUACAAUUCAAGGAAGUCGACAGUUGUCUCAAUUAUACAGUUUUGCCUUUUUUUUUUUUGUACCAUAGUCUAAGUUUGUAUUUUGAUUGCCUAGAAGGUAUUUCUUAUUAAAGAAAAAAAAAAAAAAAAAAAAAUAUAUAUAUAUAUAUAUAUAUAUAUAUAUAUAUUUAUAUAUUAUUAAAGCAAAAUCUUUUACUAGCCACUAGUUGUACCUUCUUAGUCUACAGAUUCCUUAUAGGUACUUUGUUUUAUAGCAGUUAACAGUCUGUGACUGCAGGGUGAUUCAAAAAGAAUAACACAACUUUGAAAAUCUGUAUUUAAUCAAAGAAACAUGAUGACAACAGCUCUCCUAGCGACCUAAUGAGUAACCAAAUGAAACUUCAGAGCUUCCUUAAAUCGACGACAGAAAGAGCUUAGCUCCCCUUUUCUUCUUUGCAGAGUUUUCGAUUUUCAAAUUUGUGGGAUUCCUUUUGAAUCACCCUGUAUACAGUUUUUUCUGUUUUUAACAUCUGAUGUUUCCUGAUAGGUAAUCGUUUACAUCACUUUGGGAGAGGGAGUGAAAACGGGCAGUCAAUCAGUGUCUGAAAAGAGAAAAUACACCCAAUACAGAGGCUAGUAAGGAGCACUUCCAUUGCACAAAGUUAAUGUCUUAACAGAUUACAAGAUCAAGUCAUUAACAUGAACCAAAAGGACAAACUCGUCAAAAGCAAAACUCACUUUCCCUUGGCUUUUCUUUCCCUUUUCAUCACGGGUCAUCACAGCAGAAUGAACUAGCAAUUACUGUGGUACAUGCUUUUUUCACCAGAUGCUCUCAUAUGCAGAAUUGACCAGAGCACCCGAAGGAAACCCACGCAAACAUGGGGUGAACAUGCAAACUCCACACCUGGCACACCUGAGACUCGAACCAGUGACCUUCUUGCUUUGAGGCAACAGUGAUGACCACAGAGCUACCAUGUGGCCCCUUUUGUAUUCACAUUAUAUUAGUGACAGUUUUCCCCUCAAGGUAUUUCAGUAAAUAAUUGUUGUGAUUUUAUAUAAUUGACAAUAAAUUGUUUGUAUUUAUA
Non-coding RNA from Danio rerio (zebrafish), 1630 nucleotides. Lineage: Eukaryota; Metazoa; Chordata; Actinopteri; Cypriniformes; Danionidae. The record is from RefSeq and is a predicted model, not a curated record.